Molecule: long non-coding RNA, 1997 nt
Organism: Lynx canadensis (Canada lynx)
Lineage: Eukaryota; Metazoa; Chordata; Mammalia; Carnivora; Felidae
Exons: 4
Source: RefSeq, a predicted model, not a curated record
UUGACAGACAGGCAAAUAAACCAGAACUCUUCCAGAAGAUAUUUUUAUGGCUGAAACUGGCUCUCAAGUUAGAAGCAGCCCUGACUUGUCUUAUAGAACCGGGUUGCCUAAGAGAAAUAAAGAAACCACUCUACCCAACUCAACCAACAUAUGACUUCCUUUUUUCUAAAAAAUAUAAAUGGAAACGUCACAAGGCCAUAAGCUGUGGCCAUGGACAUUCAAGACUUAGAGAAGUCUAAAUCAAUGCCCCCAAAUAAAAAUCAUCCAAGACCUUACGAGAUUUGGAUGAAAAUGAAAACCACUCAUCAAUAAUGAAUGCUAAAUCCAAAUCUGGACUACAUACAAGAUACGACACACACGUCUUGUUGCCUGGAUGGAAAGCAUCAGAACUAGCAGCUAGCCAUCACACCUCUGCAAAGACUUGUGAGUGCUUCAGAAAGCCUGCCUUCCGGCACAGUUACAGCUGGCUCACUGGGAGGAGACCAAUCCAUCACACACGUUUACAGUGUAUUCAGAAUCUGACCACCUGUAACACCUCCACUGCCACCCCUGGUCCAGGCCCACCACUGUCUCUGCGGCAGCCUCACAGGUCUCCCCACUUCUGCUCGAGCUUCCCUGCUGCCCACAGAGAAGAAUUUGUGGUCUUGUCUACUCCUAGUACCCCAAUGCCUAGAAUUGGGCCUGGCAUGCUGUUCCAGAAAUCCCUGAUGAAUGAAUGAAUUUCACAGGAUGCAAACGAAGGCCCACACAUGACUGCUACAGACUCCACGAGGAAUUCACAACGCUUCAAAAGCAUUCAUGCAGUGUUAGCCUGUAUGCUGCACAUACUACCGACGGACUGUCCCAUCCUCCAGAAACAAAAUUAAGUGAUCCUAACGCAGGCAAGGGAACUGAGUUUAAAGAAAAGAAAGAACAAAAUCCCACUGAAGUAGGUAGCAGCAAGGGAUGGGGGCAACCUGGAGUGCAGCCAGGCAGCUUCCCUUCUACAGCAUUUACUGGAAGACGCAUGCUACACAUCUCUUCGAGCUCCAUCUGGGCAGAGGACACGGGUGCCAGCUUGGGUGAAUCUGCAUCUUUGCAUGAUCAACUCCCACCACUCCAAAGGUGAAAGGCAGGCCACUGCCAUUAUCUUUCCAUAGCUUCUCAAACGAGAGCCAGGGCCCACCCCGGUCCCAGUUUGUUUCCAGAUUCCAAGACUGACUACCUGCUUGUCAAGUUCUGUGUGGGAAACGUUAACAAUGUUCACAUUACCAUUUGAUGCUAUCUGGGUUUAUGACAUCUCAGAAAGUCUUUCUGUUGACAUAUGUUUUAAACAAUGGAAAUUCUUUCCAGGAACAUAGUCCUUCAGAAUAUUUAUCUGGACUGGACCACCUGGACCACAUCCACUGCUACCACACGUUGCAAGCCCCUGAUUAGUACAACAGCCUCCUAACUCCUAACAGUCUCUCCACCCUUGUCUCACCUCACCCCAGAGAAGCCCGAAUGAUCCUAUUAAAAUUCUAAGGCACCUCCUAUCACUGCUCUUGUUAGUCCUCUGGCUCAGAAUAAAACCCAGUCUUCACCGUGGCCUCCAACAUGCUGAAGCCUGAGUGCACAUACCAGAAUCACCAAGGAAACUUUCACAAAUACUUUCAAGGCUCUACCCCAGGUCAGUUCAGUCAGAAUCUCUGGGGUUGGGACCAGGCUUUUUCUCUUUUAAAGCUUCUCAGGUGACUGAAGUAUGCAGCUAUGCCGAGGAACCCUGUGUUAUACAAACUCCAGUCACCUCUGCUUUCCACCUACCCGAGCCCUCCUACCUCUACUGCCCUGGCUUAGCCUCAGUCACAACGGCCUCCCGGCAUUUCUCUGGCAAGUCAGAAACUCUUGUGUUUCAGGGCUUUGUACCUGCUGUUCCCCCUGCCUGGGAUGCUCUUCUCCUGGACAGCGACAAUGACUGGCUCACUCCCCAUAGCAUUCUAAACAAAUUUUUUUUUUCUUUUAAGCUUAUUUAUUUAAAC